AGGGAAUUCAGAAGAAUUUAACUUGUCGUCUGUCAACGUCGUCGUCGGGUGUAUGUAAACGCGGUCUGCGCCUGUCGCCUUUUUCUGCACAAGAAAUUCUCCAGUAACAUUACGCUCGGUAGUUUUAUUAAUAAAUAAAUGUAUUUAAUUUUCUGCUGUGUGUUAUACAAAUUAUGUGUGAAAAGCAAAGUUCAUAAAUAGUAGCAAAAAAGCUGUGAAAUUGACGAGCUGGCGCAUAAAUUGAAAGGAAUAGAAAACGAGAAAAAACCUGCGUGCAGAAGAGAAGUGAAAAGAUAUUCCUUUGUGUCGCUGCUUGGAAUUCGUCGGGUACUUGCCAGCGUGUUUUUGUGUGUGCGCGUUUAUGUUAGCAAGCAGGAAUUGGGGGAACUGAAAAUAAAACCUAACAAAAAUCAAGUGAACUUUCUGCUUAUAUGGCCAUCAAUUCCCCUAAAAUAGAACAAAUGUGAAACUGAAGCAAAAAGAUCGUAAAAUAAUUGUAAAAUAUCAAACAAACUUGUUGGCGUGUUCAGAGCGUUUAAAAAAGAAAACAAGUGUUUGCCAAAUUAGUAAAAUGUAAAAUGUAGAAAUAAGUACAAGUAAAAAGUGCGGGUUUCUCUUGGUGGGCAACAAGUGCGUGAAUUCGUUGAAAAAUAAAAAAAGAUCAGUGAAGCGCGAACAAGCACAAGCAGCUAAAAAAAGCUGAAUUUACUUACAAAAAUACGUAAA
Long non-coding RNA from Rhagoletis zephyria (snowberry fruit fly), 726 nucleotides. RefSeq lists it as uncharacterized. Lineage: Eukaryota; Metazoa; Arthropoda; Insecta; Diptera; Tephritidae. The record is from RefSeq and is a predicted model, not a curated record.